UUUUUUUUUUUUUUUUUUUUUAAAGAGAAAGGACUGCACUUUGAAACUUUCCGCUGAGAGAGUAAGCACUUCCUGUUCUUCCAGCUUCGGGUUCACCUCCCUUAGGAGGCCACUGUGGGAGCCAGAGGGGGGCCAAGCGCUCCCUUUGUCUCUCUCCAUCCUGAGUGCCAGUGCCACUUGGAUGCUUCUUGUCUUUUCUGUCUUGGCCACCUUCCCCGUUCAGUGUCUCGUGUGUGUGUGUGUGUGUGUGUGUGUGUGUGUGUGUGUGUGUACACACAUAAAUAUACUCAUAAUGGAUACUUCUUGUGUUUGUAUUUGUUGGGUCUGGACCACCUGGUAUUAAUUUCUCCUGGUGCCCCAAUCAGGUGAGCCUCUAAGCACAAAAAAAAAUUCUUGACAUUUUUGAAAAAUUUCAAACCUGCAGAGAAGUUGCAUGAAUAGUGACUGAAAUAUAGUCCGUUCUUGUUACUCGACAGCAGUUGUGUCCUAUGAAUUAGUGGAUGUUGAACCAUUGUUCCUGUGUGGUUAAGUUCCGACGAGCCUCAGGUCACCAUAUUUUGUUAGCUGUUCAGUAGGUGACCUUGUGUUAUGUGUUUGUUUUUGUUUUUUUUAUUUUUAAGUAAUCUCUACACACAGCACUCAGACAAAAAAUCACCAAGAUCAAGUGGUGUGUUUCACCAACUGAGCCAGCCAGGCACCCCUAUGUGUGUUUCUGUUUAAAGACACCUUAUUUAAUUUAAUUGUUGAUUUGUGAACAAUGAACUCACUCAUGGCUCACAGCAUGAUAACUUGUACCUAAAUGAAGCUUUUCCCAAAGGUAUUUCUUUGUAAGACAUAUCAUGGCUGCCUUUUUUUUUAAAGUAAUCUCUACACCCAGUGUGAGGCUCGAACUCACAACCCUGAGAUCAAGAGUGGCACGCUCCACUGCCUUCUUUUUAUUUUUUUUAUUUUUUUAUUUUAUUUUAUUAUUUUUUUUUUUUGCCUUCUUUUUAAAUAGCAAAACCACCAGGGCACCUGGCCAGCUCAGUCAGUGGAGCGUGCCACUCUUGAUCUCAAGAGUGAUGAGUUCAAGCCCCAUGUUUGGGCAUGGAGCCUCCCGUAAAAAAAAAAAAAAAAAUUAAAAUUAAAAAAUAAAAAAUAGCAAAACCAACAGAAAGCACCAAAUGUGAAAAAUGUAGCCUAAAUCGACUGUGAAAAGGACACUUGUUUAAGAAGACUGAGACAGAAUGGUGCUUGUUUGACCUCAGCAAGCAGGAGAUUCACAGAUAACUGAAGCUGUGAAUGAGGAGAAAAAGCGAUAUUUUUCUCUGUGAGGUCCCAUGCAUUGGUUGCCAAUACCAUCCUUCAUGCCUAAGUACUUCCUCCUAAAGCCAAGGACAUUCUCCUAUCUAACCUCAAUUCAAGUGAUUGGAUUCAGGGAAUUUGACAUUGAUACAGUACUAUUUAAUAGGACAUUUGUGUUCAGUUCUCCACAAGUCCUGAGCAUGUCCUUUCUGGCCAUGAUUUUUCCCUUCAGGGUCAUGUAUUGCAUUCAGUUGUCACGUCUCUUUAGUUGCUUUGAAUAUGGAGCAGCCUUUUUUGUCCUUUGUAACAUGGACAUUUCUGGAGUCCAGGCCUAUGGUUUUUGUAGAAUGCCACCUCAGUCUCAUUUCCCCGAUAAUUUCCCGUUAUUAUUAUAAUCAAGAUGUGUAUCUUGGCAGGAAUAUUUGUCUCUUUUGCAGAUGGCAAAAAUUGACACCCAAAGAGGUUAAGUAAUUGGCUAGACUUCAAGCCUAGAAAGUCUGGCUCAGACCCUAGGCUGUCACAAAAAUCUUACAUACUGAUUCUGUCUUUGCUUAAGAAAUUGGGAGAUCCAGCAGCAGCAGCACUGGUCCCACCCCCACCACCACCCCCCCCCCCUUUUUUUUUUUUUGAGAUUUUAUGUAUUUAUUCAUGAGAGACAGAAAGAGAAAGAGAGAGAGGCAGAGACAUCCCAGGAUCACAGACCUGAGCCAAAGGCAGACGCAUCCCUGGUCCCACCUCACAGAGUAACAGUGAGAAGGAACAGGGUUGCAGCGCCCUCUUUCCCAGAUAUGAUUGCCACAGUCCCCACCAUUCCCUUGUCUCACACCAGGCCAGCUUUGUUUAUGUUAUUUGCCUGGCCCCCCAUGGUCCCAGAAACCCAAUACAGAACAUGGUUUUAUAAAAACAAAGUCCUUUGAUCCAAGUGGAGGUUGGUUGGGCAGGGGGGGAGUGUGGCCUUAAGUUCUUGUUUUGUGCAAACUCAAAUGUGCUAAUAGCUUAGUGGGCUAAGUGGGGCAGAGGAUCCUCUUUUUUCCUAUUGUAGCUUUUUGCUUCUGUCAUGCAUCAUAUGCAGCAGGACCCACCCACCCCCCCACCCCCCAGUCCCAGGACAGCCUCCCUGACUGGGACUGAGUAGUGGGGAGCAGGAGCCCCUGUGUGGAACUCUCCACUCUCCCCAGAGAAGACCUAGCCAUCUUCCAUGUGUUCCCCACCCCCACCCCUCCCUGCUUCUCCAGAGACCUGGGAGCUGGCUGCAAUGAUUUCUGGCCUGCGACUCUAGUCUUAAGUGUUCCUUCCUAAAUUUGCCUGAAGUCAACAAUCAUCAGAUUAGCUUGCAAAAUUUAGAUAUCUAAAUCUUUCCCCUGGAAAGUUGGUCCAGGUAGAUCUAGAAUCUUUAUUUGGGAUGGGGUGAAGGGGCAGAGGGAGAGGCAGAGAGAGAAUCUUAAGUAGACUCCACGCCCAGCACAGAGCCUGAAGUGGGGCUUGAUCUCACGAUCCUGAGACCAUGACGAGCCAAAAUCAAGAGUCGGAAUGCUUAACUGAGCCACCCAGGCACUCCAAGAAGAAUAUGUUUUUAACGAACACCUCUGGGUGCUCAAACCCAGGCAGCUCAGGGAAAAAAGCUGGUAGUUAAUGGACAGUCUUUCUUUAAUUUCAGUUUUAUUUAUAUUUCAGACAAUACAUUCACAGGUUCCAAAUACAACAAUGAAAAGUCACCCUCCCUCCCCUGUUCCCAGGUUCCCAGUUUGCUCCAGAGGUAUUCGUUGUUGCCAGAGUAUUGUGUUGCCAUCUAGAGAGAUUUCAUACAUAAACAAGAACACCUCCUACUUUUUCUGGGGGAGGAGGGGAAGGUAACCUGUACGCUCUGCCACUGUGUGCCUGAAGAGCAGUUAGAUCUAGUUUAAGUCCAGUUACUCUCUAGCUCUGUGACUUGUGAGCCUCCCUGAAACCUGUUUCCUCCUCUAAAAUAGCGCCAAUAAUAGAGGACACCCUCAGCAGUUGUUGAGGGGACAUGGGAGAGAACAUAUGAAGCUGUCAGCACAGGACCUGGCCCCAAGUGAACGUCCUGUGUCCCACGUGGGCCAGACUCAGCUUUCUGAUGUGAGAGGUACAGACAGAACCAUGCCUUGGGGUCAGGCCACGUCACUUAUGAUUUAGAGAGCAGAAAGGAAGUAGUGUUUAUUGAGCUUUUACUGUGUGCCAGGCACUUGCUGAGGGCUUAGUGAACAUCAUGGUUUUACAGGGUUAUGCUUCGGACAUUGGGCUGAAAAAUUCUAUUGGAGAGUGUCCACAUUAUAGUGUGUUCAGUGAGAUCGUCAACUGCUACCCACUAGUUGUUGGUAAUAUUUUCCCCUGCCAGUUGUGACAACCAGAGACGUCUUCAGAUGUCGCCAAAUGUCCCCGGGGAGGGAGAGGAGGUCAAAUCACUCUUGGAUUAGAAACACGCCUUAUUUCAUCUUCAUGUUAACCACAGUAACCUGAGUGGCAAGGAAGGUUAUUGUCCUGUAUUUGAGAGGAGGAAGCCUGGGGAACAGAGGGGUUAGGUGCCCUAUCUGAGAACACAGCUUCUACAUCACUGCUGGGAUUCACACCCAGGCAGUCUGCUGAGCUCCUGUUCCUACCCAUUAUGUAAGAGUGCCUUUUAUCUUGUGGAAUGUUGUCUAGAAUUAUGCAAAGCUCUUCCCAGACCUCUGCUUCACAAUUAACCUCAAUACAUGUUACUUGUUAUCAUUACAUCUGUUAGCAAAUUCUCCAAAAAAAAAAAAAAAACAAAAA
This 4059-nucleotide long non-coding RNA is filed under the name Canis lupus familiaris (dog). RNAcentral's name for it is "lncRNA (ENSCAFG00000050086.1)". The record is from RNAcentral. Lineage: Eukaryota; Metazoa; Chordata; Mammalia; Carnivora; Canidae.